GACGAACGCUGGCGGCGUGCUUAACACAUGCAAGUCGAACGGUAAGGCCCUUCGGGGUACACGAGUGGCGAACGGGUGAGUAACACGUGGGUGAUCUGCCCUGCACUUCGGGAUAAGCCUGGGAAACUGGGUCUAAUACCGGAUAGGACCACUGCCUGCAUGGGUGGUGGUGGAAAGCUUUGGCGGUGUGGGAUGGGCCCGCGGCCUAGCAGCUUGUUGGUGGGGUGAUGGCCUAACAAGGCGACGACGGGUAGCCGGCCUGAGGGGGUGACGAGCCACACUGGGACUGAGGUACGGCGCAGACUCCUGCGGGAGGCAGCGGUGGGGAAUAGUGCACAAUGGGCGCAAGCCUGAUGCAGCGACGCCGCGUGAGGGAUGACGGACUUCGGGUUGUAAACCUCUUUCAGCACCGACGAAGCGCAAGUGACGGUAGGUGCAGAAGAAGGACCGGCCAACUACGUGCCAGCCGCCGCCGUAA
RNAcentral lists this ribosomal RNA (478 nucleotides) under uncultured bacterium. RNAcentral describes it as "partial 16S ribosomal RNA". It matches the Rfam family "Bacterial small subunit ribosomal RNA", at positions 28 to 523 of the family's 1533-position model. The record is from RNAcentral.